This is a long non-coding RNA of Pelmatolapia mariae (spotted tilapia), 688 nucleotides long. RefSeq lists it as uncharacterized. The record is from RefSeq and is a predicted model, not a curated record. NCBI's taxonomy places the organism in Eukaryota, Metazoa, Chordata, Actinopteri, Cichliformes, Cichlidae. The transcript has 3 exons.
AUGAACCAGAGUGGGGAAGAAACAUCACAAUCAUCUUCUGACACACUAUUACUUUCAUCCUCUGACUUCAAGAACAGAUGGCCAGGACUAUUCAGUGUGACUGAGGUGGAAGCAGAAUUUGUGAGGAUUACUACUGCUCCACUUGUUCCGAGGUUUCUUGCACAACUUGACCAAUACGCUGACCAGCUCAUAAAAGUCUUCAAGAAAAAAGGAGGCGCUGCAGGGAGGAAAAUUAGCCACACAGAAUGAAACUACUGAAAAGAGGAGGGAGUGUGUCCUCAGGCACUACCUCUUUACCUGAAUGAAUAUGGCGUUAUUUUUGUGCCACUAUUCUGAGCGCACGUAAAAAAAGUGUUGGGUGUUGAAGUUCUGCAUGACCUGGCAGACAUGGCCUCUGCAUGUGCACUCUUAAUGGAUGUGAUAUAUGCACUGAAUCUCAGUUAUCCUCAGGAACUGAAAGCUUUCUUUGAAGUACUUCAGAAGCUCUUCCUUCAUCUGGAUGCCAGCAGACUCUUAACCAAGGUACAGAUGCUCAAGAAUAAACUGUAUGAAUAAGCCAACCCUUAAUUUGGAUGAUGAAUGUUCUGUCAGCUGGACAGAAGUUUUUGGGAGGCAAAUAAAAUGGUCAUUUGGUUGAAAAUGGUAUUUGAGGGGGGAACCUAAAUUAAAACAUUUGUUUGUAAACAAU